UACGGAGGAUGCAAGCGUUAUCCGGAAUGAUUGGGCGUAAAGCGUGCGUAGACGGUUAUUUAAGUCGGGUGUGAAAGCCCCGGGCUCAACCUGGGAAUUGCAUUCGAGACUGAAUAGCUAGGGUACGGUAGAGGGAAGCGGAAUUUCCGGUGUAGCGGUGAAAUGCGUAGAUAUCGGAAGGAACAUCAGUGGCGAAAGCGGCUUCCUGGACCAGUACCGACGUUCAGGCACGAAAGCGUGGGGAGCAAACAGG
RNAcentral lists this ribosomal RNA (253 nucleotides) under uncultured bacterium. Its description in RNAcentral is "partial 16S ribosomal RNA". It matches the Rfam family "Bacterial small subunit ribosomal RNA", at positions 524 to 776 of the family's 1533-position model. The record is from RNAcentral.